AAUAGAUACCCAGGUAGUCCACGCCCUAAACGAUGUCAACUAGCUGUUGGGGCCUUCGGGCCUUGGUAGCGCAGCUAACGCGUGAAGUUGACCGCCUGGGGAGUACGGUCGCAAGAUUAAAACUCAAAGGAAUUGACGGGGACCCGCACAAGCGGUGGAUGAUGUGGAUUAAUUCGAUGCAACGCGAAAAACCUUACCUACCCUUGACAUGUCUGGAAUGCCGAAGAGAUUUGGCAGUGCUCGCAAGAGAACCGGAACACAGGUGCUGCAUGGCUGUCGUCAGCUCGUGUCGUGAGAUGUUGGGUUAAGUCCCGCAACGAGCGCAACCCUUGUCAUUAGUUGCUACGAAAGGGCACUCUAAUGAGACUGCCGGUGACAAACCGGAGGAAGGUGGGGAUGACGUCAAGUCCUCAUGGCCCUUAUGGGUAGGGCUUCACACGUCAUACAAUGGUCGGGACAGAGGGUCGCCAACCCGCGAGGGGGAGCCAAUCCCAGAAACCCGAUCGUAGUCCGGAUCGCAGUCUGCAA
RNAcentral lists this ribosomal RNA (528 nucleotides) under uncultured bacterium. Its description in RNAcentral is "bacterial SSU rRNA". It matches the Rfam family "Bacterial small subunit ribosomal RNA", at positions 777 to 1310 of the family's 1533-position model. The record is from RNAcentral.